This 253-nucleotide unclassified non-coding RNA is filed under the name uncultured Verrucomicrobiota bacterium. RNAcentral's name for it is "uncultured Verrucomicrobia bacterium contains 16S-23S intergenic spacer region". It matches the Rfam family "Bacterial small subunit ribosomal RNA", at positions 524 to 776 of the family's 1533-position model. Lineage: Bacteria; Pseudomonadati; Verrucomicrobiota. The record is from RNAcentral.
UACAGAGGUCCCGAGCGUUGUUCGGAUUCACUGGGCGUAAAGGGUGCGCAGGUGGCCAGGCAAGUCGGAUGUGAAAGCUCCGGGCUCAACCCGGAAAUGGCAUUGGAAACUGCUUGGCUUGAGGUUUGGAGGGGGGACUGGAAUUCUCGGUGUAGCAGUGAAAUGCGUAGAUAUCGAGAGGAACACCAGUGGCGAAGGCGAGUCCCUGGACAAGACCUGACACUGAGGCACGAAAGCUAGGGGAGCAAACAGG